GGAUUGCAGGCAAAAUGGCCGAAUAGGAGCAGCUCCAGUCUACAGCUCCCAGGGAGAUUAAUGCAAAAGAGAUGGAGUCUCGACACGUUGCCCAAGCUGUUCUCAAACUCCAGGGCUUGAACAAUCUUCCCACCUUGGCCUCCCAAGGCACUGGAAUUACAGAGACAGUGCUCUGCAGGGAGUCUACCACUGUGAUGGUUAAUACUGAGUGUCAACUUGAUUGGAUUGAAGGAUGCAAAGUAUUGUUCCUGGGUGUGUCUGUGAGGGUGUUGCCAAAGGAGAUUAACAUUUGAGUCAGUGGGCUGGGAAAGGUAGACCCAGCCGUAAUCUAGGUGGGCACCAUCUAAUCAGCUGCCAGCACAGCUAGAAGAUAAAGUAGGCAGAAAAACAUGAAAACAUUAGACUGGCCUAGCCUCUGAGCCUACAUCUUUCUCCCAUGCUGGAUGCUCCCUGCCCUUGAACAUCAGACUCCAAGUUUUUCAGUUUUGGGACUGGGACUCACUAUCCUUGCUCCUCAGCUUGCAGACAGCCUAUUGUGGGACCUUAUGAUCAUGCAUUCUGCUGGACCAACAAACAACAGUGUAUUUUUUCAUCCCCCUGCUGUUUGACAAUAAGAUUUUCUUAGCCUUGUAACAAUUAACAACUCAAAAAUAUACAUCUUUGUAUAUGUCUCCUUGAACAAGAGUUUCUCCCUGAGAAGCUCCCAGAAGAAGAACUGUUGGGCUAUGGAGAAUAUGCAUUGUCAACCUUACUUGGUAGUUCCAACAUAGCUUUCCAAAGUGUUUAUACUUAUUUUCCGUCCCUGCAACCACGCCUUGGAGUUCUUGUUUUGUUUGCAUUAUCACCAACAGUGAAUAUUAUCAAACUUAAUAAAUUUGUAAAUAUAAAA
This 889-nucleotide long non-coding RNA is filed under the name Homo sapiens (human). RNAcentral's name for it is "papillary thyroid carcinoma susceptibility candidate 3". Lineage: Eukaryota; Metazoa; Chordata; Mammalia; Primates; Hominidae. The record is from RNAcentral.